CUACUGGAAACGGUAGCUAAUACCGCAUACGCCCUACGGGGGAAAGCAGGGGACCUUCGGGCCUUGCGCGAUUGGAUGAACCCAGGUGGGAUUAGCUAGUUGGUGAGGUAAUGGCUCACCAAGGCGACGAUCCCUAGCUGGUCUGAGAGGAUGAUCAGCCACACUGGAACUGAGACACGGUCCAGACUCCUACGGGAGGCAGCAGUGGGGAAUAUUGCACAAUGGGGGAAACCCUGAUGCAGCCAUGCCGCGUGUGUGAAGAAGGCCUUCGGGUUGUAAAGCACUUUCAGCGAGGAGGAAAGGUUGGUAGCUAAUAACUGCCAGCUGUGACGUUACUCGCAGAAGAAGCACCGGCUAACUCCGU
This 364-nucleotide ribosomal RNA is filed under the name Aeromonas veronii. RNAcentral's name for it is "bacterial SSU rRNA". It matches the Rfam family "Bacterial small subunit ribosomal RNA", at positions 147 to 506 of the family's 1533-position model. Lineage: Bacteria; Pseudomonadati; Pseudomonadota; Gammaproteobacteria; Aeromonadales; Aeromonadaceae. The record is from RNAcentral.